This 306-nucleotide long non-coding RNA is filed under the name Salvator merianae (Argentine black and white tegu). RNAcentral describes it as "lncRNA (ENSSMRG00000008981.1)". The record is from RNAcentral. Lineage: Eukaryota; Metazoa; Chordata; Lepidosauria; Squamata; Teiidae.
GCAGGGUCAAUGCGGAGAUUAUCCACACAGGCUGUUGCCUCUUCUCAAUUCAGUGCGGCUGGCUCCACCCCCAGUCAUAAAGAGACGCACUUUUCAGGGCGAACAAGGACAGGCAGGAAUCCAAGGGCCUCCAGGACCACCUGGGCCACCAGGUCUCCCAGGGACUGCAGGACUACCUGGCCCAACAGGACCAACUGGGAAAGCAGGAGAACCCGGGAAGCCAGGCAAAGAUGGAAAGGGUUUGCCAGGACCUCCUGGACCAAAGGGAGAUCCAGGAGUUCAGGGAUAUCAUGGAAGAAAGGGUGA